GGUUCGUUAGUGUAACGGCUAACAUUUCUGAUUGUCUAUCAGAAGCUAUGAGUUCGAUUCUCAUACGAACCG
Molecule: transfer RNA, 72 nt
Filed under: Ferruginibacter sp.
Lineage: Bacteria; Pseudomonadati; Bacteroidota; Chitinophagia; Chitinophagales; Chitinophagaceae
Description: tRNA-Asp
Rfam family: tRNA
About the family: Transfer RNA (tRNA) molecules are approximately 80 nucleotides in length.
Source: RNAcentral